UACGUAGGUGGCAAGCGUUAUCCGGAAUUAUUGGGCGUAAAGCGCGCGCAGGCGGUCUCUUAAGUCUGAUGUGAAAGCCCACGGCUCAACCGUGGAGGGUCAUUGGAAACUGGGGAACUUGAGUGCAGAAGAGAAAAGCGGAAUUCCACGUGUAGCGGUGAAAUGCGUAGAGAUGUGGAGGAACACCAGUGGCGAAGGCGGCUUUUUGGUCUGUAACUGACGCUGAGGCGCGAAAGCGUGGGGAGCAAACAGG
RNAcentral lists this ribosomal RNA (253 nucleotides) under uncultured bacterium. RNAcentral's name for it is "partial 16S ribosomal RNA". It matches the Rfam family "Bacterial small subunit ribosomal RNA", at positions 524 to 776 of the family's 1533-position model. The record is from RNAcentral.